UUUGCUAAAUCUAAUUAUGUUGUUCAAUAUUAACCAAAAUCAGAAAUAAAAAAUCUAAGAUCUAACUAAAUCUAAGAUUUCGCGGCGACGCUUCCAAUCUCCUCCUCCACGCUUCCACUACGAUUCCAAAAGACUCAAUUCUAGAAGCACGAUUCCGCUUCCGUUUCCGGUUCAGAAGCGAGAAGCGACACAUCUCCGGCGAUUCCGUGCUACAGCCGAAAAAGAGUGCUUUCAAGCAAGUCCGUUUUAAGACACUGAAACUAACGAAUCGCUCUCUUUACUCAAGCUUCUUGGAGUUGAAAGAACAGCUACGUCACAGGUAAUUAAGAAAAUUUUGGCGUCCAGAUAAAAAUCAGGAAAUCAGAAAAGCUGUUUAAUUUGGUCCAAACAUGGCUAACCAUGAUUCUGUUUUAUUUAGAGUAUGCAGCUAGAGGUCAGCUUCAUAAAGAGCUACAAAUAUGCAACUACUUCUGCGCAGCAACUGUGAGUCCUAGUGAUAUUGAGUAUUGACCUUACCUGGCCUCUAAAUCUGAGCUUGAACCUCUCUAGUCUUUUCUAUUUACUCUUGUUACAGACUAGUAAGAUUUUGGAUGGUCUGCGCACACGUUCAUGUCUGGCACUCUUGAUUACCUUCCACCUGAGAUGGGUAAGUAAAACCUCUCUACUGUGUUUUUAUAUCAGACACUUCUGCUCCCAGAUUGUCCAAGUGCACCUCAAGUUCCCUUCUAAACUUAUUGUGUCUUCAAUCUUCAUAUGCAAAUGACCUUAUUAGCUAGGUUCCUACUCUCAUACCUCGUAAUCUCUCUUAAAGCUUUUCUGCAUUUGAAGAGUGAAAUCUCUGACUUUUCGCACUUUCUGAUUCAUAUAGAUGUUGGUUAAGGAGUCUAACGUUUGGCCUUGCACAAGCUUCUUAAGCACCAAUGAUUUGUGCAAAACGCGGAUACAUCAAGCAUAUACAGACGUUUUUGAACUCGUUGUUCUGUUCUCUAGAAUCACGGCCUUACAUGUACUUUUGUGUAGUCUUCUUCUAUAAUAUUCAAUUUUAAAGAAAAAUAAAUGAGGAAUUAAUUUUCUUUGCUGGUGAUUUGGAUAUGCUAACAUUUUGGUCAUAAUGUAUAACUUUCUUUUUUCAACCACG
RNAcentral lists this long non-coding RNA (1138 nucleotides) under Capsella grandiflora. RNAcentral describes it as "long non-coding RNA (CGRA_LNC001405)". Lineage: Eukaryota; Viridiplantae; Streptophyta; Magnoliopsida; Brassicales; Brassicaceae. The record is from RNAcentral.